Molecule: long non-coding RNA, 7452 nt
Organism: Homo sapiens (human)
Lineage: Eukaryota; Metazoa; Chordata; Mammalia; Primates; Hominidae
Exons: 2
Source: RefSeq, a predicted model, not a curated record
UAGUAACUAAUUUUAUACAUAUAUAUAUAUAUAUAUAUAUAUAUAUUUUAACAGAGCUGUUUUUAGCUAAAAAUCAAGUGUGGUCUCUCCCCAAACCCAGGGAGUAGCUGAGAUUCUCUGUGGAGGGAGAACCUACCGGAGGAGAAUGUUAGGGCCUGUGCAGAAAAUAGGAUUGAAAGAAACAUGGUCAAUCUCAUGUUUAGGAAAAAUUCUUGUAAAGAUUUUUGUUUCUACUUGACUAGGUCAAUAAAGAUAAGGCACUAAAGAUAGGCAAUCUAAAUGCCAUUUUACACAUAUGGUGGAUGGAUAACUCUGUGUCCUAAUAUUUCUGAACCUUAGUUACCUUAUAUGUAAAGUAAAAAAAAGUACCAAUCCAUACAUCCAUUUCCUUUUUGCCAUCUCUUGUCGACUAGGCACUUUUCAGGAUUUUCCAAGGAGAUCAUUGAAACUUUGUUUUGCUUUUCUGCAAAGAUGUGUAUAUGAAGUUGUGUUUGCUGUCUGGCCUUAUGAGAGACUCAGUGCUUUUCUGACACUAACAUUCUGGGGCUCUUUGUCCAGUCCUUCCUCCUUGGUCUUCCAUGGUUCUCUGAGAUGCAGGUAAUUGAAUGCUUGAGCUGGGAAAAAGCUUUUGUUCUAUGAUGAUUCUAAGUCUUACUCUCUCAUUGCAAACACUAAAGUGUAGUUCUAAGCGCAAGUACAGUUUUCCUCAUUUUUAUUUAUCUUUCCCAAGAUUUUAUAGCAAAGUUUUUGUUUUCUGCACCACCUCUACCCUGCUACCCCUCCUUAAGCCCCUACGCAGCUGAAAGCUGGAAGCUGAAACGUUUUCAACUUGAGCAGACAGGUUGAAGAUGCUGCCAAACCAUGUGGAAAUACAUUGGUAUAGACUGGAACUUUGUUUCCCUUGCCUGCCAAAAUCUCAGAUGGAGCUUUAGGACUCAUGGAAGACCUUCCUCAAGGGGGACUUGAAGUGCUCUGGGAAAAAUAUGCGAGUGUGACCCUUUCCAGGGGGCAGCACGAGGAUGGCCAAACCCGCUACUCUCCCUGGGGCUGGGUAAGGAGAUCCGGCUGCAAGUUUCUGAAAAAAUUUUAAAAAGGCUGUUAAUUUCUGAAACUAGAAAAUAUACUUGACUCCUGGACCCAGAAAAUACUCUUCCAAGUUGCAAAAAAACAAUCAUUCUUUUUAAAUGGGGUAACAUUUCUGGAAUACAUCGUUCCCAAAAUAAGAUCCUCCAAUUUGGAAAAAUCUAGCUGAAAUAAAUGAAAAUAACAGAUGGAAGAGAAAUAACAGAAGUUAUCCAAAGAACAGCAAGAGAUAUGAAGUGGGGAAUCAUCUGUCUAGAAAAUGGUACUCAGUUGUACUUUUGAAAUUAAAGGUACAUUGGCUUCUGAAGAGAUUGCAAUUUUUCUCUUGACAGUUCCCCCUUACACAUUAUGUCCUUUCUGGGCCAAGGUUAGCACGUAAGAGGUAUAGUUUUCUUUUCUAUUCCUGCUUCUCCCAUUUGUGCAGUUUCCAUCUGUUCAAAGGUGUUAAGAUCAACUGUUCUGGUGUCCUGGAUAAAGGUUUGGGCUCUUGGCAGAGUGCUGGAUAAAUACAGAGUCAUGCUAUUAGCAUAGGGAUGUUUAAUAACGAUUGUUUAUGUUCUCUUAGCCUUGUCUGAGAGCAACUGUGGGCAACCCGGGCCCCUUGGCAGUCUGCUGAGUGCACCUGACAGCAAGGCUGAGCCUGGUGCUGCUCACCUGCUGCCAUGGGAGCCCCCCGCAGCCAGUCACCGUCUCGCCUUCCUGCAGAGCGCCUCCCACAGUCCUCGUUUGGAAGAACACAGUUUUAGUACUUCAUUGACAAUGGAAACCAUUUGGGUUACAUAAUUCACUGUUCCAUUUCUGUGCAGCUUUUUUUGUUAACCAUGAGAGCUUGGUAUUUUGCUGACUUUCUGUGCUUCCUUCAUCCUUCCUGACCUCCCUUCUUACUGGUUCCAUGGCUGUUCUUCAGGGGUCCACCCUCUGCAAGACAGUAGCUUAGGGUUUUUGUUCCUGGCUGCAUCAGCACCUGUGUAGCUGCUUAUCCUUUGCUCAGGUCGUCGAGAGGUGUUUUUUCAGAGAAAGAGAUGGACGGUCUGGCCAGACCAUUUAAGUUUUUGCAUUGGGUUUCUUUCUGUCUCCAAUCCCCACCCUAUUUGACUAGUCUAGUGAACUGAACUCUCACCUUGCAGAGCUGGUCAUGAGCCGCUGGCAUUUUCCUCUUCUCUACAGUGACCCGGUUCACCCUCCUCUUCCCCAGCUCUCCAUAUUCCUCCAGAGCUAAAGGCACAAGUCAGGCAGAAGGUAUUCCUGCCCUACGUCUUAUCAAAUGUCUCUGCAGAACUUAGGCAGAAGGCAUUCCUGGCCCUUACAUCAAGUGUCUCUGCAGAAGGAAAAGAGGAGAGAGAGAAGGCAGAGAAAAGAGGAAAAAAGAGGACAGAAUGGAUCACCUCACCAGCCCAGAAUUUCCUUUAAGAACUUACCCUUUGAUGAUUCCUAGAUUUAGCAUGUCCUACAAAAAGUCCUGUCACACUUGUCAGUCCUGGAGGAGACGAAUUUGCAUGUAAGCUCCGCUGUGUCCUGGAUAAAGUUCCUGGGAAGACGGGCUGAAAGUAGCCAGGAUGAAGCUGACCUUGCCAUUUCCUCAUUUUCCAUUUCAUUGCAGUUUUAAAAAAUGAGCGUUAAGUAACCUCAGUGAAAUUUUUAAACAGGGCACUGUAGUAUCUCCCUAAGAGUGUCAGUCACUGUAAGCAGUGGCAGAGUGAGAGCCAGGGAGGGCCCAAAAACCCAGACUACAGAUCUUCUCAUUUUUUCCCAAGCCCUCUUUUCACAUUUUUAUAAAGUCUCAGAGCACGAAGUGCUUAGGGGAACAUUCUAGCUCCCCAGUGUCAAAGGAGGAGCCUGCGGUCUGCGUUUACCAGUUAAUGGCGGAGGAGUAGGAGAUGCUGGCUCUCGGCAAGACUCCUUCUCUUCCUGCUGUGCUCCUCACUGUCUUAUGGAAGCAGGUGGUGGCUGUGGGAUGAGAAGGGCAAGGAGGAGGUGCUGUUAAUAAAACCAACUGGGGAGUGAAGUGGAGUGGAGUGAAGAAGAACGAGAGGCACAGUUAACUUCCCACUGGAAACUCCCAAGCAAGGAGUCUGUAGGUUGUAGAAUGAGUUUGGCUGCAAGUGGGAAUGCAAGGCCAAAGUGGUACAUCUGCUUUCCAUGAGAGCAUCCCAGCUCAUUGCUUUGCUUUUUUCCCCUUCCCUCUGCUAGGAAGGAGAGUGUUCUUUCUUCAUAGUGUGCAUCUUUGGAAUGUAACACCAUUCUUUGUCUUCUGCGGGAACAUAAACCUGACAAAGACAGUGAGGCAGGGGAAUAAGUCUUUUUAUGAAAUGAGAUAAAAGAGAUUUUUGAAGAAAAGAAAAUCUGUAUCAUUCUGUUUGAGGAAAACCUUUUGCUUGAAUCCAUCAUUUCUUGUUUUCCACAUAAUUUUUUGGGGUGUCUUAAUUAGCUGGAACAUCUGACACCAUCGGACAGUUAUUUCCCUCAAAUUGUUAGCAGAUCUACCCAGUAGAGGUCAUACUCCUCUCAGGUUGUACUGUAGAAUCUAGGUCAUGACUCCUAGACUUUUUCAAGAGAGGUACGUGCACUGUGCCCCUUGCUCCCAGUCUCAGCCUCUUGAUCCUUGUAUUAGUCUGUUCUCAUGCUGCUAAUAAAGACAUACCCAAGACUGGGUAAUUUAUAAAGGAAAGUGGUUUAAUUGACUCACAGUUCUGCAGGGCUGGGGAGGCCUCAGGAAACUUACAAUCAUGGUGGAAGGGAAAGCAAACAUGUCCUUCUUCACAUGGUGGCAGGAAGGAGAAGUGCUGAGUAAAAGGGGAAAAGCCUCUAAUAAAACCAUCAGAUCUUGUGAGAACUCACUCACUAUCACAAGAACAGUAUGAGGGUAACUGCUCCCAUACAUAAAUUACCUCUUGCUGGGCCCCUCCUGCAACACGUGGGGAUUAUUGGAGCUACAAUUCAAGAUGAGAUUUGGGUGGGGACACAGCCAAACCAUAUUAAUCCUUCACUCUUGUAUCCCUGCUUCUGCCAUCACAACUGCUCCUGCAGCAGUCACCACUGGUCUCUCAAUUGCAAAGUGUCUCAGUGCUUACCCUGCUGAGCUCCCUACAGCACUGCCACACCUCCUUAAAACUCUUUUCCCUUGUCUUCUGAGACCUUGUUCAGAAUUGAUACUGUUUCUACCUCUUUUUCAAAGCAUCUCUCUGUUCUCUACCUCCUGUCCUGGAAAGUCAGAUAUCUCCCAUGGUUUUCUCUUUUUUUCCCCUUCACCCCCCUGGAAAUUCCUUACAUCCUUGAUCUCAUCACUUGCCUUUCCAUUUCCAGAGCUGUCUCCUCUCCUGUGCUGUUGAGCCCUUCCAUCCUACCUGCCUGAUGAGCAUCUCUAACAGAUUGUCUUAGAAGCAACUCAAAUUCAAUAUUUUUGGCUAUACUUGCCUACUUUUCUCCCCAACCGGUCACCCCUCUGUGUUUCCUAUUUCCAAGGCACCCAGGACCAUCAUCAAGUUUACUUUUAAUCAAUCUUCUUUCCAUUCCAUUUCUUUUAUCACCUUAGCUAAAAUUGCUAACUCUUGUCCAGAUCAUUGUAUCAAUCCAGCUGACAUUCUUUUAUCCGUGUUCCUCCCUACUCAAGCAUCAUCAUAAUUCACAUUACAGAUAGGUCUUCCAGAAUCAUAGCUCCUAUGGUGCCAUUCAUCCUAUUCAACCACCUUCUAUUGUGGCUUUUUGCUAAUUACCAAGUUAAUUUUUUUUUGCCUUGGCUUUUAACAUUCUCAGUGAUCUGGUCCUAGUCCACAUUUUCAGCUUUAUCUCCUACCACUCAGUAGAAAAUGGAAUCUUGUGAUAUUUCCUUUCUAUGCUUUAUAUUUUUCUGCUAACUCAUUCUAUUCAUUCUAUUAUCUUUGCAUUUACCCAAAACAUUGUAUUCUCCAAUCCCCACUCUUCUUUAGGGGUUCUAACUCUUUCAUGAUUAACUCAUCCACCGUUUUAUUGUGGAACAUCCAUUGUGGUUUAUACUGAUCACCUUUUGGCAUUAUAACUCUUUAACUUCCUUUAAAACAAUGGUGUGCAGGUUGUUUCUCCUACCAAACUCCUAAGAAAUAGGAAAACUUGUCUUAGGCAUUUAAAAGAUUUCCUCCAGCAUGUAACAAGAAGCCUGCCUUGCAUAGUGGGUGCUCUGUUUGUCAGAGAAAUAGAAUUCAUCUUGAUAUAUCUUAUACUUGGUUAACAAUCAGAAGUACCUUUAUUUCCCUCUCUUUCACUCCUCCUCCUUCCCCUGCCCCAUUUAUAUAUAAAACACAGACUGCUACCAUAUGGUGUCUUUCUAAUCACAUUCUUGUAUGAGAAGAAGAGAUAUAUUAUUACAGACUACUGAUCCUUUAGCUGUAUAAAAUGACAAUUCUAACUUAAGAGCAGAUAGGUGAUUUAAAGUUUUAUAGUUUCCAUGUUAUUCUGUUGGGCUUUUAAAUCUCCUUUACCAGUAAACUGAAUGAUGGACGCAUGCCAUAAUGAUCACAUUAAUUUAACUUUACAAAGUUUUUAAUAUGUGACACCCUUUAACAAACUGAAAAAUAAAAAUCCAUGGUGGGCAGGUAAGUAUUGUUCUUGAAGAGACAUUACUUUAUCCUUACUUCAGUAGAAUCAAUGUCAUUGUGGCAGGAAAAAAUUGUCAUUUAGUUAAUGAAUAAAGAAUAAAAAUGAGAGAAGCCAAGAGACAAAUUAUUCUAAAUAAUGAGUAUAUGACAGAUUUGUGGGUGGCCAAGGUGGAGCAAGCCAACUAUUUCUUAUCUAACCCAUUGGUUAAAACUCAAACCUCUGGAAAGAAUACAUAAGACAACUAUUUGAAGACUUAAAAAGUAAACAAUAAGAGGUAAAUACAGACAGGAAGUCAAAGCUUGAAGAAUAACCAUGUCUUAGUCAGUUUGGGUUGCUAUAAUGGAAUAGCAUAGGUGGGGUUGCUAAACCACAAACUUAUUUCUCACAGUUCUGGAGACUGGGAAGUCCAAGAUCAAGGCACCAGCAGAUUGAUGUCUGGUGAGGGCACACUUCCUGCUUUGCAGAUGGCUACUUUCUUGUUAUAUCCUCAUAUAGGGGGAGAUAGAAAGAAAGAGGGCAGGGGGAGAGAGAGAGAGAGAAAGCGGGGGGAGGGGGAGGAAGGAAGCUGUCAUGUCUCCUCUUAUAAGGACUUUAAUCCCGUUCUAGAAGACUCCACCUCCAUGACCUACUUACCUUUCAAAGACUCCACCUCUGAAUACCAUUGCAUUGUGGGGGUUAAUAUUUCAACACAUGAAUUUUCCAGGAGCACAAACACUCAGUUCAUAACAAGCUAGUACUAGUAAGUUUUCUGUUCAUUCUCCUCCUCUAUGUCUCAGCUUUGAUUCAUGGAAAACCAACAACACUCUGAGAGGUGAAACUGUGCCACAGGUGUGGAGAGCAAAACCCAAAAGAAAGCCAUCUUUCCAAUCAGAUGACCAGCAAAAAUAAGUCACUGAAAGAGAAUAUGAAAUGAAAUCCCUGUUUUUUUUUCUGUUUGUUUCUCUUUUUCCUUUCUUGGCAUUGCCUGAGGCCAGCCCCAGUCAUGGUGAUGUAUUGCCUAGAUAUGGUGGUGGUGGGGUAUACAAAUCCCAAGAGCUAAUCCAUAUCUGUGGUCAGAGGAAUGGGAAAAAGGGAUCCAAGUAGCCUGAAUAGUGUGCAGGAAUCUUUUAUUUAUUCUGUUAUAUUCUUACCCCUGUAUCCCAAGUGUGGCCCCCAUUGCACAGAACAGUGCAAGAGCACUGGGCCUAAAAUCCAAAAAGAAGCUCAUCUUUCUGGCCAGAAGAACUGGUAAAAUAGUCUCUAACAGCCAAAGAGUGGCAGGAUCUUUGAGAAGACAUAGCUAGAGAAGGGUACACUCUAAUUAUGGUACAUAGACCAACACAAGUCCCGAGAUCCCACCUGAGCUAAAUGUGUAGAACAUACUCAAAGAAAAAUAGCAUUUUACAAAAAUAGCUUUGUUUUGUAAAUUGACUGCCAAACAAACCAAUCAAAAAAGAACAUUGUUUGGAGGAUUUUAACAGGAUACAGAGUCUCACUACAUUAUAUUCAGUAUGUCUCACAUUUAAUUUCAUACAUCUAUAAUACAAUUCAAAAAUCACUCAACAUACAAAUAACCAGAAAAUUUAAGCAAUUCUCAAGGAAAAGGACAAUCAGUGACCCCGAAGCCAAGAAGACCCAGAUGUUGGAAUAAUCAAAUAAAGAUUUUAAAGCAGCUUUAAUGACCAUGUGCCAUAAAGUAAAGGCAAGCACUCUUGAAAUGAAUGAAAAGAUACAAACUCUCAGCAGAAAAAGAGGAACAAUUGAAAAGUAACUAAACGGAACUGUAGAAUAAAAGUAUAUAAUAUCAUAAGUAAAAAA